RNAcentral lists this ribosomal RNA (253 nucleotides) under uncultured bacterium. Its description in RNAcentral is "partial 16S ribosomal RNA". It matches the Rfam family "Bacterial small subunit ribosomal RNA", at positions 524 to 776 of the family's 1533-position model. The record is from RNAcentral.
UACGGAGGGUGCAAGCGUUGUUCGGAAUUAUUGGGCGUAAAGAGCGUGUAGGCGGCUAGGUAUGUCAGAUGUGAAAUCCCUUGGCUCAACCAAGGAAGUGCAUUUGAAACUGCCUGGCUUGAGUACGAGAGGGGGAAGUGGAAUUCCCGGUGUAGAGGUGAAAUUCGUAGAUAUCGGGAGGAACACCGGUGGCGAAGGCGGCUUCCUGGAUCGAUACUGACGCUGAGACGCGAAAGCGUGGGGAGCAAACAGG